UGUAAAGUUUCCAACCCAAAAGUUCGAACUAGUAGGUGGAGGGACUCCCAGGAAUAUAAGGGAGGCUGUAGGAUAAUUAGUAGUUGAUGUGGGACUAAACUCCCAACAAUUUAUCAACAUUCAAAUCACCCUUG
Telopea speciosissima is the source of this 134-nucleotide long non-coding RNA. RefSeq lists it as uncharacterized. Lineage: Eukaryota; Viridiplantae; Streptophyta; Magnoliopsida; Proteales; Proteaceae. The transcript is spliced from 3 exons. The record is from RefSeq and is a predicted model, not a curated record.